RNAcentral lists this ribosomal RNA (263 nucleotides) under uncultured bacterium. Its description in RNAcentral is "partial 16S ribosomal RNA". It matches the Rfam family "Bacterial small subunit ribosomal RNA", at positions 94 to 353 of the family's 1533-position model. The record is from RNAcentral.
ACCGGCGCACGGGUGAGUAACACGUAUCCAACCUGCCGUCUACUCUUGGACAGCCUUCUGAAAGGAAGAUUAAUACAAGAUGGCAUCAUGAGUCCGCAUGUUCACAUGAUUAAAGGUAUUCCGGUAGACGAUGGGGAUGCGUUCCAUUAGAUAGUAGGCGGGGUAACGGGCCCACCUAGUCUUCGAUGGAUAGGGGUUCUGAGAGGAAGGUCCCCCACAUUGGAACUGAGACACGGUCCAAACUCCUACGGGAGGCAGCAUGU